GACCAACUAAGUUUGUUCUGGGUAUAAGCUUUCAUGUGCAUGCACACAAAAGCUUAUACCCAGAACAAACUUAGUUGGUC
RNAcentral lists this microRNA precursor (80 nucleotides) under Podarcis lilfordi (Lilford's wall lizard). The record is from RNAcentral. Lineage: Eukaryota; Metazoa; Chordata; Lepidosauria; Squamata; Lacertidae.